RNAcentral lists this ribosomal RNA (465 nucleotides) under uncultured bacterium. Its description in RNAcentral is "partial 16S ribosomal RNA". It matches the Rfam family "Bacterial small subunit ribosomal RNA", at positions 28 to 507 of the family's 1533-position model. The record is from RNAcentral.
GACGAACGCUGGCGGCGUGCUUAACACAUGCAAGUCGAACGGAAAGGCCUUGCUUGCAGGGUACUCGAGUGGCGAACGGGUGAGUAACACGUGGGUGAUCUGCCCUGCACUUCGGGAUAAGCCUGGGAAACUGGGUCUAAUACCGGAUAGGAGCCAUUUUUAGUGUGAUGGUUGGAAAGUUUUUUCGGUGUAGGAUGAGCUCGCGGCCUAUCAGCUUGUUGGUGGGGUAAUGGCCUACCAAGGCGGCGACGGGUAGCCGGCCUGAGAGGGUGGACGGCCACAUUGGGACUGAGAUACGGCCCAGACUCCUACGGGAGGCAGCAGUGGGGAAUAUUGCACAAUGGGCGCAAGCCUGAUGCAGCGACGCCGCGUGGGGGAUGACGGCCUUCGGGUUGUAAACUCCUUUCGCUAGGGACGAAGCUUUUUGUGACGGUACCUAGAUAAGAAGCACCGGCUAACUACGUG